RNAcentral lists this ribosomal RNA (252 nucleotides) under uncultured bacterium. Its description in RNAcentral is "partial 16S ribosomal RNA". It matches the Rfam family "Bacterial small subunit ribosomal RNA", at positions 524 to 776 of the family's 1533-position model. The record is from RNAcentral.
UACGUAGGAUGCAAGCGUUGUCCGGAAUUAUUGGGCGUAAAGAGCUCGUAGGCGGUUUGUCGCGUCUGCUGUGAAAACGCGAGGCUCAACCUCGCGCCUGCAGUGGGUACGGGCAGACUAGAGUGCGGUAGGGGAGAUUGGAAUUCCUGGUGUAGCGGUGGAAUGCGCAGAUAUCAGGAGGAACACCGAUGGCGAAGGCAGAUCUCUGGGCCGUAACUGACGCUGAGGAGCGAAAGCGUGGGAGCGAACAGG